CCGAGUUGUCGCGAGACAAUCUCCCUUUCUUGUUGUUUGACCGGUUGCCUUGCCUUCGGGCAGGAUUAUUCUAUUUUCUAGUAGUCUGAGUUACGAUUUAAUAAAUCA
Molecule: unclassified non-coding RNA, 108 nt
Filed under: uncultured Ascomycota
Lineage: Eukaryota; Fungi; Ascomycota
Description: sequence contains ITS1
Source: RNAcentral